AGGGGCGUAGUUUAAUGGUAGAACAGCGGUCUCCAAAACCGCCAGUGUGGGUUCGAUUCCUGCCGCCCCUGCCA
Molecule: transfer RNA, 74 nt
Filed under: Bacillus sp. (in: firmicutes)
Lineage: Bacteria; Bacillati; Bacillota; Bacilli; Caryophanales; Bacillaceae
Also listed under: 3 other names
Description: tRNA-Trp
Rfam family: tRNA
About the family: Transfer RNA (tRNA) molecules are approximately 80 nucleotides in length.
Source: RNAcentral